UCACAUUCUUGUCCUCUGUAC
Non-coding RNA from Caenorhabditis elegans, 21 nucleotides. The record is from Ensembl. NCBI's taxonomy places the organism in Eukaryota, Metazoa, Nematoda, Chromadorea, Rhabditida, Rhabditidae.